Molecule: ribosomal RNA, 188 nt
Filed under: uncultured Prevotella sp.
Lineage: Bacteria; Pseudomonadati; Bacteroidota; Bacteroidia; Bacteroidales; Prevotellaceae
Description: partial 16S ribosomal RNA
Rfam family: Bacterial small subunit ribosomal RNA
Source: RNAcentral
GCCUACGGGAGGCAGCAGUGAGGAAUAUUGGUCAAUGGGCGAGAGCCUGAACCAGCCAAGUAGCGUGCAGGAUGACGGCCCUAUGGGUUGUAAACUGCUUUUGUAUGGGGAUAAAGUCAAUCACGUGUGAUUGUUUGCAGGUACCAUACGAAUAAGGACCGGCUAAUUCCGUGCCAGCAGCCGCGGUC